AAAGGAAUAGACGGGGGCCCGCACAAGCGGAGGAGCAUGUGGUUUAAUUCGAUGAUACGCGAGGAACCUUACCUAGACUUGAACGGAGGAGGAAUAUUAUAGAAAUGUAAUAGCCAGCAAUGGUCUUCUUCGAGGUGCUGCAUGGUUGUCGUCAGCUCGUGCCGUGAGGUGUCAGGUUAAGUCCUAUAACGAGCGCAACCCUUACACUUAGUUGCCAGCAUUUAAGGUGGGGACUCUAAGUGGACUGCCGGCGCAAGCCGUGAGGAAGGUGGGGAUGACGUCAAAUCAGCACGGCCCUUACGUCUAGGGCGACACACGUGCUACAAUGGCCGAUACAGAGGGCAGCUACUUGGUGACAAGAUGCGAAUCUCAAAAGUCGGUCUCAGUUCGGAUUGGAGUCUGCAACUCGACUCCAUGAAGUUGGAUUCGCUAGUAAUCGCGCAUCAGCCAUGGCGCGGUGAAUACGUUCCCGGGCCUUGUACACACCGCCCGU
This 493-nucleotide ribosomal RNA is filed under the name uncultured bacterium. RNAcentral's name for it is "bacterial SSU rRNA". It matches the Rfam family "Bacterial small subunit ribosomal RNA", at positions 903 to 1397 of the family's 1533-position model. The record is from RNAcentral.